ACUCCUACGGGAGGCAGCAGUGGGGAAUCUUAGACAAUGGGGGAAACCCUGAUCUAGCCAUGCCGCGUGGACGAUGAAGGCCUUAGGGUUGUAAAGUCCUUUCAGCUGGGAAGAUAAUGACGGUACCAGCAGAAGAAGCACCGGCUAACUCCGUGCCAGCAGCCGCGGUAAUACGGAGGGUGCGAGCGUUAUCCGGAUUUAUUGGGUUUAAAGGGUCCGUAGGCGGGUUAAUAAGUCAGUGGUGAAAUCCCAUCGCUUAACGAUGGAACUGCCAUUGAUACUGUUAGUCUUGAAUGAGGGUGCAGUGGUUGGAAUGUGUAGUGUAGCGGUGAAAUGCAUAGAUAUUACACAGAACACCGAUUGCGAAGGCAGAUCACUAACCCUAAAUUGACGCUGAGGGACGAAAGCGUGGGGAGCGAACAGGAUUAGAUACCCUGGUAGUGUA
Molecule: ribosomal RNA, 445 nt
Filed under: uncultured bacterium
Lineage: Bacteria
Description: bacterial SSU rRNA
Rfam family: Bacterial small subunit ribosomal RNA
Source: RNAcentral